UACAGAGGGUGCAAGCGUUAUUCGGAAUUACUGGGCGUAAAGCGCAUGCAGGUGGGAUAGAAAGUCAGAUGUGAAAUGCCGGGGCUUAACUCCGGAAUUGCAUUUGAAACUUCUAUUCUUGAGUCUGAGAGAGGGAAGUAGAAUUCCUGGUGUAGAGGUGAAAUUCGUAGAUAUCAGGAGGAAUACCGGAGGCGAAGGCGGCUUCCUGGCUCAGAACUGACACUCAGAUGCGAAAGCGUGGGUAG
Molecule: ribosomal RNA, 245 nt
Filed under: uncultured bacterium
Lineage: Bacteria
Description: partial 16S ribosomal RNA
Rfam family: Bacterial small subunit ribosomal RNA
Source: RNAcentral